UGAAGUUUUAUAUAUUUUAAUAUGGCUCUUC
This 31-nucleotide non-coding RNA is filed under the name Mus musculus (house mouse). Lineage: Eukaryota; Metazoa; Chordata; Mammalia; Rodentia; Muridae. The record is from RNAcentral.